GGAGGGGUGGCAGAGUGGUCGAUUGCGGCGGCUUGCUAAGCCGUUAAGUGGGUUUAACCUGCUUCCUGGGUUCGAAUCCCAGCCCCUCCG
This 90-nucleotide transfer RNA is filed under the name Planctomycetes bacterium RBG_16_41_13. RNAcentral's name for it is "tRNA-Ser". It matches the Rfam family "tRNA". Rfam says of the family: Transfer RNA (tRNA) molecules are approximately 80 nucleotides in length. Lineage: Bacteria; Pseudomonadati; Planctomycetota. The record is from RNAcentral.